GAUGAAGAACGUAGCGAAAUGCGAUAAGUAAUGUGAAUUGCAGAAUUCAGUGAAUCAUCGAAUCUUUGAACGCACAUUGCGCCCGUCAGUAUUCUGGCGGGCAUGCCUGUACGAGCGUCAUUACGCCCCUCAAGUCCCCUGUGGACUUGGUGUUGGGGAUCGGCGAGGCUGGUUUUCCAGCACAGCCGUCCCUUAAAUUAAUUGGCGGUCUCGCCGUGGCCCUCCUCUGCGCAGUAGUAAAACACUCGCAACAGGAGCCCGGCGCGGUCCACUGCCGUAAAACCCCCCAACUUUUUAUAGUUGACCUCGAAUCAGGUAGGACUACCCGCUGAACUUAAGCAUAUCAAUAAGCGGAGGA
RNAcentral lists this unclassified non-coding RNA (358 nucleotides) under soil metagenome. RNAcentral describes it as "partial contains 5.8S ribosomal RNA, internal transcribed spacer 2, and large subunit ribosomal RNA". The stretch from base 1 to 120 matches the Rfam family "5.8S ribosomal RNA", at positions 35 to 154 of the family's 154-position model. The record is from RNAcentral.